RNAcentral lists this transfer RNA (72 nucleotides) under Danio rerio (zebrafish). It matches the Rfam family "tRNA". From Rfam's summary of the family: Transfer RNA (tRNA) molecules are approximately 80 nucleotides in length. Their secondary structure includes four short double-helical elements and three loops (D, anti-codon, and T loops). Lineage: Eukaryota; Metazoa; Chordata; Actinopteri; Cypriniformes; Danionidae. The record is from Rfam by way of RNAcentral.
UCCCUGGUGGUCUAGUGGUUAGGAUUUGGCGCUCUCACUGCCGCAGCCCGUGUUCGAUUCCCGGUCAGGGAA